ACAUAAGUAGUAAUCCUUACUUAUUUUUCUUUUUUGAAGGGCAGGUUGGAACAUGAUGAUUGUAGUUUCCAUGAUAUUUGAUUAACGUCUUUACGUAAUCAAGACUCGCAACGUCCCGAUUGUUUCUAUUUGAU
Small nucleolar RNA from Pteropus vampyrus (large flying fox), 134 nucleotides. Its record names the gene U8. It matches the Rfam family "U8 small nucleolar RNA". From Rfam's summary of the family: U8 is a member of the C/D class of snoRNA which contain the C (UGAUGA) and D (CUGA) box motifs. U8 is the RNA component of a small complex (the U8 snoRNP) which is required for accumulation of mature large subunit ribosomal RNAs, 5.8S and 28S rRNAs. The record is from Ensembl. NCBI's taxonomy places the organism in Eukaryota, Metazoa, Chordata, Mammalia, Chiroptera, Pteropodidae.